This 3161-nucleotide long non-coding RNA is filed under the name Callithrix jacchus (white-tufted-ear marmoset). RNAcentral describes it as "lncRNA (ENSCJAG00000081342.1)". Lineage: Eukaryota; Metazoa; Chordata; Mammalia; Primates; Cebidae. The record is from RNAcentral.
GAAAGAAGGAGAGAGGGAGGGGGGAGGAAGGAAAGAAAGGAAGGACGGAAGGACAGAAGGAAGGAAGGAGGGAGGGAGGGAUCAGAAAUCAUAGCCAGUGAAACCCAGGAAAACCAUCAGGCAGGAAUUAGGAUGGUGCUUUAUCCAGGUUUGCAUUCCCAACAUUUAGCACCAUACGCACCAAAAAAAUAUUGUCAGAUGAAUAGUGAACCACAGUCAAACACUGAGUAAACCUGGCAGUUGGCAUCACAGGGGAGGGUGCGUGGUCACUGGACUCUGAGUGGGUCGCUGUUUUUCAUGCCAAGUCAUGACAGUAGGAUUCAGUGUGCUGGGGGAACACAGUUUUAUGAAUCUCACUUUAAAAAAACUGCAAGUGCUAUAAAUAGAAGCCUUCAUAAUUUUGAGAUAAUAAUGGUAAAAAUGAUCAUUUUUGCUUAUUAUUUGUGAUGGUUAAUAUUGUGUCAACUUGAUUGAAUUGAAGGAUGCAACGUACUGUUCCCAGGUGUGUCUGUGAGGGUGUUGCCGAAGAAGAUGAACACUUGAGACAAUGGACUGGGAGAGGCAGAGCCACCCUCCCUCUGGGUGGGCACCCAGCUGCCAGCGCAGCUGCAAGCGCAGCUAGAAUCAGCUUCCAGCACAGCUAGAGUAAAGCAGGCAGAGGAACGCGGAAGGGUUAGACUGCCUGAGUCUCCCGACCUUCGUCUUUCCCCUGUGCCGGAUGCUUCCUGCCCUCAAACAUCGGACUCCAGGUUCUUCAGCUUUUGGACUCUUGGACUCACACCAGGGGUUUGCCAGGGGCUCUCGGGCCUUUGGCCACAGACUGAAGGCUGCGCUAUCGGCGUCCCUACUUUUGGGGAUUGGGACUUGUACUGGCUUCCUUGCUCCUCGGCUUGCAAACAGCCUACUGUGGGACCUCACCCUGUGAUCAUGCUUGCCAGUCAUUUGCACACAGAGAAAACCAAUUGAGAGGAGAAGAGAGAGAGAAAACCUAGGUUUCCCGACAAUGUACAUCAGGGAAAGGUGCGUCCCUCCCAGUGAAGCUGGAAGGUUGAAGUCCUGACACCUCCCGCGGUCUGAGCAGCUGCGCGAUGAACUGGAUAGUGCUGGAAUGUGGGACAACGGAGGCAGACUCAGAAGUCGGAACAUUGUUUCAGGAUCACACAGAAAGAGACAUGAUUUUCAUAGGUAAGUGCUGGUUUUUUUUUUUUUUUGUCGUUGGAAAAAAGUUUCUCACUAAUAACUAUCUAAAAGGGAAAUAAUUACAGUUUCAGACAUUCCAAAAAUCCCCGUGAAGAGGGUUUUGUUUUGGUUUUGGUUCUUUGUGGUGUGCCUUACAGCUUUCCCUGAGGUGACACACUUACUGACCUACGGCUAGGGCAAGUAGGUGGAAAAAAGCAAGCUUUCCUGCCUCUGGAGAAAGGAAGGGUCAGGUGUAACACCGAAGUGACUCAGAAGUAGGGGAGCUUGUCUCAGCUCUGGCCUGCACAGUGGUUCCUCUGUUCUUUACAUAGAGAAGAAAGGAGGAGAAAGCUCAAAGCAAUGCCCUUGACUUAACCCUUCAGAGGGCAGAAGUGGCCAAUCUUUAUUUUGCUGUUUUGGUUAUUGUUCAUUUAAAUUCCAUGUGCCAAUUCCGACUGAUUAGCAGUGGCUGCUUGGAGCACUGUGUGAGGAAGAAUUCUCAGGCACGUGGUGAUCAUUCAGCUAGCGCUUGCCGAAUGUCGAAUGAAUGAAUGGCUGUCUUGGACACGGGGAAAGGAGUGGUGCUACGUGUGUCGCAGGGUUGCCUCGAGUUGACCCCAAGGAAGACAUUCUAAAGAGGAGAAGGUUAGGGAUGAGAGACAAAGAUGCAUGCUAAGGCUCAUGAGCUGUUCUCCUAACAGAUAACGCCUGACCCGGCCUUGGACGUCAGUACACAUGAGUAAACGGUGGAAGGAUGCUACGUUUAUUGGCCAUGUCCAUCUGAACUUUAAAAAUAAUGCAUGGUCUUUAACGCUGUCUCCACCCACAGGUCUAGUUCUAGCAAUUUAACCUAAGGAAACAAAUAAGGAUGUGAACAAAGCCUUAGCUACGGUGGUGUUUUACAGAAGCGUUUUGGGCAAGAGAGAAACCCAUGCAAAGGAAUUUGGUUCAAAAAGAGGUUAACGUGAGGCAGCAUUUCUCAAAGUUGGCCUGUUGACAUCUGGGGACAGGUAAUUCUGUGUUGUAGGGGCUGUCCUGCACGUCGUGGGAUGCUUAUCAAUGUCUCUGGUUUAAUCCAGUAGAUGCCAGCAGCAGCCCCUCCCUAGCUGUGACAACCCAAAAUACCUUCAGAUUUUGCCAGAUGUCUCCUGGGAGGAGUGGGAAACCCGAACCACUCCCCAAGUAAGAAUCGCUGAUGUGAGGGUAUAGAACUCAUGGCAAUUCAGAAAAAGCUGAAUAACCAGGAUUCAGAAUCUGAAGAGCUGCCACAUCUGGAGUGCAAUCAUCUCUCUUACUGCCCUUUCCCCCCGCUGACCUCGUUUGUCCUAUAGAUCUGUAGGACAUAGAUCUGCUCCGUUUUUCCUCUGAGUCUCUGCUCUUCAUAAUUGCAAUGUGUACCUAGAGGAAUAAUGACACCCCACACAUAACUUUGUAUGGCCUUUCAGCUCAAUUAUCCACCACUGACUGCUGACUUUUUUCUGCUCCUUAGUUUAAGAAAGAAGGGAGCUGAUUGGUUCUGCUCAUUGUAAAAAGUCAGGUGAGUGGGCUUAGGCAACUGGCUGCUGAAGGAUGAUCUCUAACCUGCUCUGGGGCAGGUGUCCAUCUCCUGCUAGGCCAGUUGUGAGUGGACGAAUUUAAAGAGUCCUCAAAAAUGUCAGUGAUCAUGUUGCUCGUUGCAAUAUGUUUUUCUUGCUUCUUCACCUGUCUGGCAAUUUAUGAUUAGAUUCAAGACCUUGUAACUUUACCUUGUUUAGAACACUGGGUAUAUUUCAAAAUCAUUGAUUUGUAUUUUGUCUAGUUUUUUAGUUUGGAGGAUAAACCUGGCUUCUUUUAUUUCACCUUAUCUAGAAGCAAAAUUUCACAAUGGGCUUUUUAAGAUUAAAAACUGGAAGCAACCUAGAGAAUUUCACCAAGAGAAUUGCACGUAUAGACAGCAUUGUCAGAAUGAAAUUCCAUCCACAUGAUCAGGGACCCUGUAGGUG